GAUGAACGCUAGCUACAGGCUUAACACAUGCAAGUCGAGGGACCGGCGCACUGGUGAGUAACACGUAUCCAACCUGCCCUUUACUCGGGGAUAUCCUUUCGAAAGCAAGAUUAAUACCCGAUAUAAAGGAUGGGGAUGCGUUCCAUUAGGUUGUUGGUGAGGUAACGGCCCACCAAGCCUUCGAUGGAUAGGGGUUCUGAGAGGAACGUCCUCCACGUCGGAACUGGGAAAAAGUCCAAACUCCUACAGGAGGCAGCGGUGAGGAAUGUUGGAAAAUGGGAGUUAGACUGAUCCAGCCCAGUAGCAUGAAGGAUGACGGCUUAUGGGUCGUAGACUUCUUUUAUAGCGGGAUGUGAGUUAGAUGAAUAAGGAUCGACUAACUCCGUGCCAGCCGCCGCGGUAAUAC
Molecule: ribosomal RNA, 406 nt
Filed under: uncultured bacterium
Lineage: Bacteria
Description: partial 16S ribosomal RNA
Rfam family: Bacterial small subunit ribosomal RNA
Source: RNAcentral